CCCCACUCCAGAUCUUCCCACUUGUGUCUCAGGUACUGUGGGGAUCAAGAGCAUGUAACUGAGAGCUGGAUACUCAGCUGAGCGAGCUGAAGAGAACUGGAGGAAAAAAUGUACAAAUCAUGAAGGGCUCUGCUGUUGUGAGUCACUGGGAUGACUGUCCAUGGGCAAAUGGCAUGUUUGUGGUUGAGUCUAGAGGUGGAGCCAAGAGUGAACAUCUGUGGAGUCAGGGGUAGAACGAGGCAGAAGGGGU
This is a long non-coding RNA of Mustela erminea (ermine), 250 nucleotides long. RefSeq lists it as uncharacterized. NCBI's taxonomy places the organism in Eukaryota, Metazoa, Chordata, Mammalia, Carnivora, Mustelidae. The record is from RefSeq and is a predicted model, not a curated record. The transcript has 3 exons.